Molecule: ribosomal RNA, 499 nt
Filed under: uncultured bacterium
Lineage: Bacteria
Description: partial 16S ribosomal RNA
Rfam family: Bacterial small subunit ribosomal RNA
Source: RNAcentral
AUUGAACGCUGGCGGCAUGCCUUACACAUGCAAGUCGAACGGCAGCACGGGAGCAAUCCUGGUGGCGAGUGGCGAACGGGUGAGUAAUAUAUCGGAACGUGCCCAGUCGUGGGGAUAACGUAGCGAAAGCUACGCUAAUACCGCAUACGAUCUACGGAUGAAAGCGGGGGAUCGCAAGACCUCGCGCGAUUGGAGCGGCCGAUAUCAGAUUAGGUAGUUGGUGGGGUAAAGGCUCACCAAGCCGACGAUCUGUAGCUGGUCUGAGAGGACGACCAGCCACACUGGGACUGAGACACGGCCCAGACUCCUACGGGAGGCAGCAGUGGGGAAUUUUGGACAAUGGGCGCAAGCCUGAUCCAGCAAUGCCGCGUGCAGGAUGAAGGCCUUCGGGUUGUAAACUGCUUUUGUACGGAACGAAACGGCGAGCUCUAAUACAGUUUGCUAAUGACGGUACCGUAAGAAUAAGCACCGGCUAACUACGUGCCAGCCGCCGCAGUAA